This 386-nucleotide unclassified non-coding RNA is filed under the name uncultured Mycoplasma sp. RNAcentral's name for it is "partial contains 16S-23S ribosomal RNA intergenic spacer and 23S ribosomal RNA". The stretch from base 278 to 386 matches the Rfam family "Bacterial large subunit ribosomal RNA", at positions 1 to 109 of the family's 2925-position model. Lineage: Bacteria; Bacillati; Mycoplasmatota; Mollicutes; Mycoplasmatales; Mycoplasmataceae. The record is from RNAcentral.
GCCUAAGGUAGGACUGGCGACUGGGGUGAAGUCGUAACAAGGUAUCCCUACGAGAACGUGGGGAUGGAUCACCUCCUUUCUACGGAGUACAACGAAACGAAAGUUUCUUACUUAGUUAUGGAAUUAUAUUUGUAUCCAGUUUUGAGAGAACUAUCUCUCUUUUUGUUCUUUGAAAACUGAAUAUCGACAUUGAAAUAAAUUUAUUAAUAUUUCAAAGUUUAGAUCAACCUAUAGAAUAUACCAAGACAAACAAUAGGUCAUACAAAAUAAAAAAAACUAUUAAACAAGAAAGAGUUUUUGGUGGAUGCCUUGGGUCUGGAAGUCGAAGAAGGACGUGAUUACCUGCGAUAAGCCUCGUUUAGCUGGAAAUAAGCAAUGAAACGGGG